GAAGACCGCCGAGUCCAUCUCGUCCUGCUUCUUAUCCUCGAGAAACUCCUUGCAAAGCCAGGCCGGCGGCAAAAUUCGACACUGCUGUCUCUGCUUUAGGUUGAGGGCCAUCCAAAGGGGAACGUUGAGCGGAGUGCCCGCUGCGAAUGGACCGACGUCGCCGGUGAUUAGGUAGAGCUUCUCCGCACUGAAUGUGGGAAUAACGCUAACCAGCGUUUUCUCCGCGAGGAACUCGGCGUCGGCACACUCCAUGGCUCAGCUCAGUAGGCUCGAGAACACCUAUGGAGAACACGGUGGUUAAACUAGCCGCGCAAACUCGGAACUCAAAUCGAAGCAACAGAGCGGACACUCGGCGAAAAUUGGAAACAGGAAACACGUCACGCUAUAGUAUUAACACCGACGAAUUGGGGCUGCGAGCAUCGAAAAAAAGAGGAAUGUGAAAUGAGAUUAACAGAAGUUGUGUUAUUUUUUUUAUUCUUUCCCAAAGAAAUUAAAAAUAUAUCCGUAUAAAUUAAAUUAAACUUUGCUGCUUACUUCCGUUGCCUAGCGACAGGCGAACCGGCGAAUGACGAGCCAGAUGUUUGCGUCAUUCGUCAGACACACCGCCGAAGCGAGAGAGACCAGCCGCGCAUCUGAGCGCUGGCCUGUUCGGGCACCCGUCUGCCUGUUUUUCUAUUUCGGGAUUUAGCCUGGUUUGGUGGCCUCCCGGCGAAUUAUUGCGUUCAUUCGGAACUUCGACAUGGCUGCACUGCACUAUUGGACUACGGCAAGCUCACGUCGUCUGGUGGAGCUUCCUGCGGAAACUGCUGCUUACCUGAUGCCACAACGUUGGAUGAAUGCACAAAAGCCCGAGACGAGCAUUUACAAAGAAUAAAAUAAAGUUAAUUUUUCCUCAUUUCACAA
Dermacentor andersoni is the source of this 903-nucleotide long non-coding RNA. RefSeq lists it as uncharacterized. The record is from RefSeq and is a predicted model, not a curated record. NCBI's taxonomy places the organism in Eukaryota, Metazoa, Arthropoda, Arachnida, Ixodida, Ixodidae.